AACAGUGUUGGUGCAACUGUGAAACUGCUGUUUGAUUGUUAAAAGGGCCUUUGACCUCAGUAUAAGAAACUGCGAGCUGUUAAUACCUAAGGUUAGAACAACAGAGACCCAGGUUUGCGGUACUUUUUCCAAAAAUGUCUAUCCCUGAAACACGAUGUUUACCAAAAGGUAUAUUUCAGAAGCUGGGAUCACUCACUGGCAGACAGACACAGCACACAGGAAUUGAAGCUCCAGCUCAUCGGAGGAAGAAACGAAAAAAAAAUUGUUCUCGUUUAAA
Molecule: long non-coding RNA, 277 nt
Organism: Macrobrachium nipponense
Lineage: Eukaryota; Metazoa; Arthropoda; Malacostraca; Decapoda; Palaemonidae
Exons: 3
Source: RefSeq, a predicted model, not a curated record